UAUUUUAUUCAACAAUCAAUAAGAUAAACAUACAUAGACGUACUUCCCCAUCACCCUUCUACUUUUAUCUUCCAACACGGGAUUCCGAUCAAUAAGUUGGGGCCCCAAGCUUCUUCAGGAAAACAGUUUUUAUUUGUGCUAGCAGAUUCAUCCAAACUUCUGUUUCAAAGAACCAAGCCCCAAAGGCUCACUAGACGGAGCCUUUUGGAUUUUGCGUCUUUGUCUCCCAUACAUGGAAGGGAAACUAAUCACCCCACAUCAUCCCCAAGACUUGUGAACGACUGCUCUUUCUGUACUGAGUACUCACAGAUGUGGAAACAGACCCACAGGGAACUCACGGGGCUAUCGGCAAUAGAGGCACCAUCAGUCCCAGCACCAAGUCCCAUCAGGGAAGUAGCCAAACUCUGUGUGAAAUAAUUAAAAAAUUAUUUUUCACUUUCUUAAUUUCUUUUCAAAAAUUUUAUAAAUGUAUAUUGUAUUUAUAUCAUUCCUCCCCUUCCUCUCCUCCUAUGCCCCCACCUUGUGCUCCCUUUCAAAUUCUUGUAUUUACA
This 551-nucleotide long non-coding RNA is filed under the name Cricetulus griseus (Chinese hamster). RNAcentral's name for it is "lncRNA (ENSCGRG00015013886.2)". The record is from RNAcentral. Lineage: Eukaryota; Metazoa; Chordata; Mammalia; Rodentia; Cricetidae.